UCUCUCCGUACGGGGAAGGAUGAGAAGCUUCGACCAAGGUUCGAUUCGAGCGCAGCGAGAAAGCGUUGCCGCAGGCAACGACCCGAAGGGCGAAGCGCGCAGCGCUGAGUCAUCCUUCCCCCACCACCA
Molecule: small RNA, 129 nt
Filed under: Salmonella enterica
Lineage: Bacteria; Pseudomonadati; Pseudomonadota; Gammaproteobacteria; Enterobacterales; Enterobacteriaceae
Also listed under: 2 other names
Description: RtT sRNA
Rfam family: RtT RNA
About the family: This family represents a bacterial cis-regulatory element known as RtT RNA. The exact function of RtT is unknown although it is thought that it may be involved in changing the cellular response in relation to amino acid starvation.
Source: RNAcentral